UACGAAGGGGGCGUAGCGUUGUCUCGGAAGUCACUGGGCGGUAAAGGGUAGCGUAGGCGGGUCGUUUAAGUCAGGGGUGGAAAUCCUGGAGCUCAACUCCAGAACUGCCUUUGAUACUGAAGAUCUUGAGUUCGGGAGAGGUGAGUGGAACUGCGAGUGUAGAGGUGAAAUUCGUAGAUAUUCGCAAGAACACCAGUGGCG
Molecule: ribosomal RNA, 201 nt
Filed under: uncultured bacterium
Lineage: Bacteria
Description: partial 16S ribosomal RNA
Rfam family: Bacterial small subunit ribosomal RNA
Source: RNAcentral